RNAcentral lists this unclassified non-coding RNA (258 nucleotides) under air metagenome. RNAcentral's name for it is "partial contains small subunit ribosomal RNA, internal transcribed spacer 1, and 5.8S ribosomal RNA". The stretch from base 1 to 46 matches the Rfam family "Eukaryotic small subunit ribosomal RNA", at positions 1786 to 1831 of the family's 1831-position model. The record is from RNAcentral.
AAGUCGUAACAAGGUUUCCGUAGGUGAACCUGCGGAAGGAUCAUUAAUGAGUUUUAACGAAGCUGUUCUGGUCUCUAGGGGCAAGUGAACGCUUCUCUCAUCCAUCUUACACCUGUGCAUCUUUGGAGAAUACUGUGGGUAAAAGCUGGAUAACGGCGGUAAUCCUUAGUAUUCUCUUUACACCAAACAAUAAGUUUUAGAAAAUCUUUGCUUGAUGCAAACUAUAUACAACUUUCAGCAACGGAUCUCUUGGCUCUC